Molecule: ribosomal RNA, 253 nt
Filed under: uncultured bacterium
Lineage: Bacteria
Description: partial 16S ribosomal RNA
Rfam family: Bacterial small subunit ribosomal RNA
Source: RNAcentral
UACGUAGGGUGCAAGCGUUGCCCGGAUUUAUUGGGCGUAAAGGGCGCGUAGGCGGCUCGGCACGUCCGUUGUGAAAUCGCCCGGCUCAACUGGGCGGGGUCAGCGGAUACGGUCGAGCUUGAGCAAGCUAGGGGGCAAUGGAAUUCCCGGUGUAGUGGUGGAAUGCGUAGAUAUCAGGAGGAACACCAGCGGCGAAGGCGGCGCUCUGGGCCGGUACUGACGCUGAGGAGCGAAAGCGUGGGUAGCAAACAGG